Molecule: ribosomal RNA, 334 nt
Filed under: uncultured bacterium
Lineage: Bacteria
Description: bacterial SSU rRNA
Rfam family: Bacterial small subunit ribosomal RNA
Source: RNAcentral
CUAGCGACUUCAGAGUUUGAUCCUGGCUCAGGAUUAACGCUGGCGGCAUGCCUAAUACAUGCAAGUCGAACGAGUGUAGCAAUACACUAGUGGCAAACGGGUGAGUAACACGUACCCAAUCUACCAUAAAGUGGGGGAUACCUAAAAGAAAUUUUAGUUAAUACCGCAUAGGACAUUAUUAUGACAUCAGAAAAUGUUUAAAAAUAGGUUUCUAUUGCUUUAUGAUGAGGGUGCGGCUUAUCAGAUAGUUGGUGAGGUAACGGCCCACCAAGUCAAUGACGAGUAUCUGUGCUGAGAGGCAAUACAGACACAAUGGGACUGAGACACGGCCCAU